UGGGGAAUUUUGGACGAAUUGGGCGAAAGCCUGAAUCCAGCAAUGCCGCGUGUGUGAAGAAGGCCUUCGGGUUGUAAAGCACUUUUGUCCGGAAAGAAAUCCUUGGCUCUAAUACAGUCGGGGGAGUGACGGUACCGGAAGAAUAAGCACCGGCUAACUACGUGCCAGCAGCCGCGGUAAUACGUAGGGUGCAAGCGUUAACCGGAAUUACUGGGCGUAAAGCGUGCGCAGGCGGUUUGCUAAGACCGAUGUGAAAUCCCCGGGCUCAACCUGGGAACUGCAUUGGUGACUGGCAGGCUAGAGUAUGGCAGAGGGGGGUAGAAUUCCACGUGUAGCAGUGAAAUGCGUAGAGAUGUGGAGGAAUACCGAUGGCGAAGGCAGCCCCCUGGGCCAAGUACUGACGCUCAUGCACGAAAGCGUGGGGAGCAAACNGGAUUA
This 438-nucleotide ribosomal RNA is filed under the name uncultured bacterium. RNAcentral describes it as "partial 16S ribosomal RNA". It matches the Rfam family "Bacterial small subunit ribosomal RNA", at positions 355 to 780 of the family's 1533-position model. The record is from RNAcentral.